RNAcentral lists this ribosomal RNA (423 nucleotides) under uncultured bacterium. RNAcentral describes it as "bacterial SSU rRNA". It matches the Rfam family "Bacterial small subunit ribosomal RNA", at positions 356 to 772 of the family's 1533-position model. The record is from RNAcentral.
GGGGAAUCUUGCGCAAUAGGGGAAACCCUGACGCAGCGACGCCGCGUGCGGGAAGAAGGCCUUCGGGUUGUAAACCGCUUUCAGGAGGGACGAAGCUACUCGGGUGAAUAGCCCAGAGGGUGACGGUACCUCCAGGAGAAGCCCCGGCUAACUACGUGCCAGCAGCCGCGGUAAUACGUAGGGGGCAAGCGUUGUCCGGAUUUAUUGGGCGUAAAGAGCGUGUAGGCGGCCAGGCAGGUCCGUUGUGAAAACUCGAGGCUCAACCUCGAGACGUCGAUGGAAACCGUCUGGCUAGAGUCCGGAAGAGGAGAGUGGAAUUCCUGGUGUAGCGGUGAAAUGCGCAGAUAUCAGGAAGAACACCUAUGGCGAAGGCAGCUCUCUGGGACGGUACUGACGCUGAGACGCGAAAGCGUGGGGAGCGAA